GUGAUGUGAUUUCACAUGUGAUAAAAGACAACAACAACAAUGCAAACUUUUACAUGUGAAAAUCUAUGGUGAAAAUCAACAUUUCCUAUGUGAACUGACACAUCUCACUGAUUGAUUUCACAUGUAAACUCAAGAGCUUUUCCUUCCAUGUAAACUAAGACAUUUCACAUGUAACAUGAUUAAGCAUGCUGUAAAAGACAUGUUUCAAGUGUCAAGAGGAAUUUUGAUGUUUGGAUCGAAAGGUACUCUUUGUAAAAUGUUCUCUUCCCGGACAUUUUGUUAACGCCACCUAAGUGUACUGAGUAUAUUAAUAUAAGUAUUGAGCCACGGAGCUCGCGCUUCCCGCCCAUACACUCUAGGUUCCCCAUGCUGCCUUCGGGACCUCACGGAAAUAUUACAAUUAUCGAGUGUAAUACAUAAAUGAUCAUAAACGUGAACAACAACGGUCUCAAAAACACAUAUAUUACUAUGAUAUGUGAGAUGUCGCAUUUAUAGGCUGUAAAUAACGUAUCCCAUGUCCGUUUCUGAUGUUCACUAUGGAGCAAUAUGGUAGGUUUGUUUUUGUAAUACCGUUUAUAUAUUCCGUAGUUUAUUAUUUGAUCCAUUACAUGUCUGGCCUAUUUUUUUUCAUUUCAUUAAUUCAUUUAAUUUAAUCCGUAUUAAGUUAGUAAAAUCUGCACCAAAAAAUUACUUUACAUAGGUCUGUUAUCCUCUGUAAGUAAACGUGAGACAAGCUUUUGAUGAAGACAAAUCUUGGAUGGUGCACUUGAAUGCAUCGUCAUCUUUGACCGUUGGGAGCAGAUUAACGUCACAGACGGAGACAGAGAAAUGGAUCGGGAUGCGGUGAUUUAUCGGGUCGACGACGACCAAAUUAGUGUAUUUAAAGACAAAUAAAAGAAGAAAAUACUGAAUGAAACUGACAUGAUCGGGCUGGUGGAGUACGGCUCAGCUGGUAAGCCGACAAGGGGAGGAUGGCGAAAAUACUCAGAAACUAAGACUCUGCUCACAUAAAAACAUUGGAGAGGAGGUGGCUGGAGCAGCUCAAGUGUAAGGGCGCUUUCCAGGCACUGCAGAGGCAGACAUAAAGGCUCAGAAGCUUAAAGACCUGAGGGUUAAAAGCUGGAGUCAGAGGAAAUCACAGGAACGUAAAUUGUCGUCGUCAAAGAAACAAAAACAUGAAGAAGCUAAACGAAAUUGGUACAAGGGACAGCAUAAAAUGAGGAUAAACCCAGAUGGAAAUCCCUGAUGAGAGAAAUGUUUGCAGACUGAUGCCGAAGUUUCCUAUUUUCUGCUGGACAGGCAGUAAAGAUAAAAGGACAGUCCAUUCACCUCAACUGGCGGAAAGACAUCAACUUUUUUUGGUGAUGUUGUAAGACAGCAAACACAACCAAGCAGUUUCUGGCAAGUACACAACAUAUAUAUAAAUAUGAUUUCUAAUCGCAAGUUCAUUCAUUUCUAUGUGAUGGGACUUUUUAUAGUGCUGUUUUAUUUUUCUUAGGCACUAUGGCAGUGUUGUCAAACUCAUUUUAGCUUAGGAGCCACAUGGAAGAAAAUUUAUUCCCAAGUGGGCCGGACUGGUAAAAUCAUGAACUUCAGAUUGCUUUCUUUGUUUUACUUUGGUCCAAAAUAGAACAAGCACAUUCUGAAAAUGUGACAAAACAUUUAGUUAAAAAUUCUGAGGAAAAAAAACGGCGCAAUUUUAAGAACACAGUGCCUCAGUGAUUGGAACUUAGAUUUUGUCUCAGUGUAUUUACAAAGCUAUUCAACUUUAAGUCACAGCCUAUCUGGGAUUGAAUGAAAUACAAAUAAAUAUAAGUGCUUGUGCAUGAGCCUUGAGCGCAGCUUUGUUUUAUUGAUGCUCAUUGCAGAGAAAACUUGCUCACAAAGAUAUGUGGUUCCAAACAUUUUUGCAGCAAGGGCUGUCAAGUUGGGGUAACCUGGCAAUAGAUACCAAUAAAAUGUGUCCAAGCCAGCUGCGGCAAAUUUGCCCUUCAAAUCUGAGUCACACUGCAUGUCUAUUAUUUCAAGUUGGAUGUUGACAGGCAGAUCAGAGGCAUUCACAGUGAAUGCAAGCAAAAAACUGUGCAGUCUUUCUCCAGUUCACCAAAAAUCUGAAAGCGUUGCUCAAACUCCCGCAAUAGUCCCGUAAUUUUAUCUUUGAACCGCUUCAUGUCCACAGCAUGUUGGGUCGCGCACACAUCUUUCAGACAAGGAAAGUGAGCUGCAUCACCACCUGCCAGUUGCGUCUCCCACAAUGACAGCUUCAACUUGAACGCACAUAUGCUGUCAUAAUACUGCGUGACAACUUUGUUGUGGCCUUGCAGUAUUUUUGUUCAAGUUAUUCAAGUGCUCUGUAACAUCCACCAUAAAUGCAAGGUCCUGCAUCCAUUCUGUGGACUGAAAUUCUAACACUGGUUUGCCCUUUUUUUCCAUGAACUGUUCAAUUUCCUCUCAUAAAUCAAAGAAACACCUCAGUACAGCACCUCGGCUUAACCAUCUUACCUUGGUGUGGUACGGCAGGCCAUAGUUGUGGUCUUUCUCUCUGACAAGGCUAACUGACGGGCAAACUGACGGGGAUUCAGGCCUCUGGAUUGGAUGAAAUUAACAGUUUGGAUGGCCACCUUCAUGACAUUAUCCAUCUUUAAUGACUUGCAACACAAAGCCUCCUGAUGCAGAAUACAGUGAAAAGUCCAAAAAUCGCGUCCUCCAUUUGCAGUCUACACUGUCUCUCUGAACAUUGUCACAUCACCUACUUUUUUCCCGAUCAUUGAGGGCGCACCAUCUGUAGCCAGGCUGACGGUUUGGGACCAGUCCAUUCCGACCCUGUCCAGUGCACCGACGAGUGCAGUGAAAAUAUCAGCUACUGUUGUAGUAUCCGUCAUUGACACCAACUCCACGAACUCGGUGACAGUCAACGUGUCAUCAACUCCGCGGAUGAAUAUGGCCAGUUGCGCAACAUCUGUAAUGUCUGUGCUUUCAUCAACUGCAACUGAAAAGGCAAUAAAUGACUUUGCGCUUCAAUUGACUAUCCAAAUUCGCCGAAAGAUCAAAAAUCCUGUCUGCAACUGUGUUUCUUGUCAGGCUGAUAUUUGCAAAAGCCUAGCGCUUUUCAGGGCACACAAUCUCCGCAGCCUUCAGCAUGCAUGUUUUCACAAAUCCACCCUCACUAAAUGGUUUUGAAGCCACUGCUAUUUCAUUAGCAAUAAGGUAGCUAGCUUUCACUGCAGCGUCACUGAUUUCUCGGCUAUGAGUAAACACAGACUGCUGUUUCUUCAGACCCUCCAACAAUUCAUUCACCUUCUCUCUUCUCAGUUGUCCUUGAAAGUUGUUGUAUUUGACAGCAUGAAGAGUCUCAUUGUGGCGACGAAGGUUAUAUUCUUUCAGCACUGAAACAUGCUGUGAACACACCAAACACACAGUUUUCCCAUUCACUUCCGUGAAUAAAUAAGAGGAUGUCCACUUUUCAUGGAACACUCUGCAUUCUGCGUCCACUUUUCUCUUUUUUGACAGAGACAUUUUGGGGCAAUGAGGGUGCCAAAGCACAUAAUGUUCAAAGUAGAAGACAUAGUAGGGCAGGCAGCACGACAAGGUAGCUCCGGACUAGCUGUACUUCCUUGGCCUACUUGCUCAGCCCUGGUAUAAACAGUUUGCUUGCUUAACAGAAUUGCUAUUGCGACAUCCAGUGGACACAUUUAGAACAGCAGUUUCUUUCAUUGAAAAAUUUCAGCUCAUUUUUAUACUUUGCAAAAUCAUCUCUAACGAGCCGGAUUAAACCUGAUCUGGCCCGCGGGCCAUACGUUUGACAUCCCUGCACUAUGGGUUGGCAUUAUUCACCAUGUCUGUGACAUUCGCACCCGUCAUAUCAGAAGUAUUGCAGACACAAGUCAGGAGAGGUCUAGGUAAGUCAUACACAUCUGUUUGCCUAUGUAGCAUAUUAACUUACCCUGUAAGUCCUACUCCUGGUUAAACAGCACUAUUUUCACAUGUACAACUAAAAUGUAUGAAAUAGUAAAUUAACUCUAUGUGUAAUGGUACUGUCUUCCACAGAAGCAGUUUUCCCUGCAGCUGCUGCUCUACACACAGCUCCUGGAGCAGAUGAGGAACAGCAGUGCCAGUGAAUCAUGGGUGUUGUUCCUGCCCUGAGAGCAUCUUCAUCCAGAGCAGUAUAUUGAAUACCUUUGGUGUGGCUUUGGUCUGACCCUUUUCAGCUAUUAUAUGUGCAGCAAUUUGACCGCUGGAAGGUGAUCAGAUAAGUUUAAUCACACUGCUUUUAGUGUUCAAACAGACUAAUGAUUUGAUAGAUUAUUCUGUCUUUAUCAGAAUCAACUCUG
Thunnus maccoyii (southern bluefin tuna) is the source of this 4331-nucleotide long non-coding RNA. RefSeq lists it as uncharacterized. Lineage: Eukaryota; Metazoa; Chordata; Actinopteri; Scombriformes; Scombridae. The transcript has 5 exons. The record is from RefSeq and is a predicted model, not a curated record.